CUUUCGCCACUCUGGCACAAACCGACACAGCUUUGCGAUCUCGCCAGCAUGCAGAGUCUGAUGUCUUCCCUAUAGAUGAUUCCAGAGACUCUGUGAGGCCACUAUUGCAAGGUGAGACGCUUUGCGUUGAUUGGUGCUGCUGGACCACACUGGAGGUGCGAGUCCGCCGUGUAAUGGUUUAUGCCAUUACAAAGGAGCUGGCCUCUGUACUCAACUGGGCAGGGAAAAAAUACCAAGGACCAGACAAAGCAAAAAAGGGCAUUUAAAGAGACAGCGCCGUGCAGAUGCAUAUUUGAUGGCCUGGCGCAGCAGGUAGGGGCGAACUCUAUGUCUGAGUUGGUCUUUGCUCAAGCAGUCCAGAAAUGGCUCAGAUAUGCUCCAGAUCGUACGGGUGGCACGCAGGACGCACAUCAUCCAUCCCCAUCCCGGAGUAAAUAAUAAAAAGUGACGUGAAACAUAGAAAUGUAAAUAGGAAACUUUGUCUUUUAAUAAAGUAUUUUGCAAAUGAUACAUGUCUAUUGACCUUUUUUGGUUU
Long non-coding RNA from Pelmatolapia mariae (spotted tilapia), 535 nucleotides. RefSeq lists it as uncharacterized. The record is from RefSeq and is a predicted model, not a curated record. Lineage: Eukaryota; Metazoa; Chordata; Actinopteri; Cichliformes; Cichlidae. The transcript is spliced from 4 exons.